Molecule: ribosomal RNA, 433 nt
Filed under: uncultured bacterium
Lineage: Bacteria
Description: partial 16S ribosomal RNA
Rfam family: Bacterial small subunit ribosomal RNA
Source: RNAcentral
AGCGAACGCUGGCGGCAGGCUUAACACAUGCAAGUCGAACGCAUCCUUCGGGGUGAGUUGCAGACUGGUGAGUAACACGUGGGAACGUACCCUUCGAUCUGGGAUAACUUCGGGAAACUGGAGCUAAUACCGGAUACGCCCUUUUGGGGAAAGGUUUACUAUCAAAGGAUCGGCCCGCUUCUGAUUAGCUAGUUGGUGGGUUAACGGACUACCAAGGCUACGAUGAGUAGCUGGUCUGAGAGGAUGAUCAGCCACACUGGGACUGGGACACGGCCCAGACUCUUACGGGAGGAAGAAAGUGGGAAUAAGGGACAAGGGGCGAAAGACGGAGGCAGCCAGGUCGCAUGAGUGAGGAAGGACAUAGGGUUGUAAAGCUCUGUUGACAGGGAAGAUAAUGACGGUACCGGAAGAAUAAGCCACGGCUAACUUCGUG